RNAcentral lists this transfer RNA (74 nucleotides) under Emiliania huxleyi. RNAcentral describes it as "tRNA-Pro". It matches the Rfam family "tRNA". From Rfam's summary of the family: Transfer RNA (tRNA) molecules are approximately 80 nucleotides in length. Their secondary structure includes four short double-helical elements and three loops (D, anti-codon, and T loops). Further hydrogen bonds mediate the characteristic L-shaped molecular structure. tRNAs have two regions of fundamental functional importance: the anti-codon, which is responsible for specific mRNA codon recognition, and the 3' end, to which the tRNAs corresponding amino acid is attached (by aminoacyl-tRNA synthetases). tRNAs cope with the degeneracy of the genetic code in two manners: having more than one tRNA (with a specific anti-codon) for a particular amino acid; and 'wobble' base-pairing, i.e. permitting non-standard base-pairing at the 3rd anti-codon position. The record is from RNAcentral. RNAcentral also lists the same sequence under 5 other names. Lineage: Eukaryota; Haptophyta; Isochrysidales; Noelaerhabdaceae.
CGAGAUGUAGCGCAGCUUGGUAGCGCACCUGCCUUGGGAGCAGGGUGUCGCAGGUUCAAAUCCUGUCAUCUCGA